RNAcentral lists this ribosomal RNA (235 nucleotides) under uncultured bacterium. RNAcentral's name for it is "partial 16S ribosomal RNA". It matches the Rfam family "Bacterial small subunit ribosomal RNA", at positions 100 to 333 of the family's 1533-position model. The record is from RNAcentral.
CGGCACGGGUGAGUAACACGUAUCCAACCUGCCGUCUACUCUUGGACAGCCUUCUGAAAGGAAGAUUAAUACAAGAUGGCAUCAUGAGUUCACAUGUUCACAUGAUUAAAGGUAUUCCGGUAGACGAUGGGGAUGCGUUCCAUUAGAUAGUAGGCGGGGUAACGGCCCACCUAGUCUUCGAUGGAUAGGGGUUCUGAGAGGAAGGUCCCCCACAUUGGAACUGAGACACGGUCCA